RNAcentral lists this ribosomal RNA (637 nucleotides) under Lactarius lignyotus. RNAcentral's name for it is "eukaryotic LSU rRNA". The stretch from base 231 to 384 matches the Rfam family "5.8S ribosomal RNA". Lineage: Eukaryota; Fungi; Basidiomycota; Agaricomycetes; Russulales; Russulaceae. The record is from RNAcentral.
GCGGAAGGAUCAUUAUUGUAACAAAGACGUGGGAGGUGCCCGAAGGCUGUCGGGCUGAUGAAUGGGUCGUGCACGCCCAAAGGUUUCUUCUCGCGUGAAAUGGAUCUCACCCUUUUGUGCAUCACCGCGUGGGCUUCCCUCCUCGAGGGGGGCUCGCGUUUUUCACACAAACCCCCAUUGUAAAUGUUUGUAGAAUGUCCUUAUUUUUUGCGUUGACACGCGAUCAAUACAACUUUCAACAACGGAUCUCUUGGCUCUCGCAUCGAUGAAGAACGCAGCGAAAUGCGAUACGUAAUGUGAAUUGCAGAAUUCAGUGAAUCAUCGAAUCUUUGAACGCACCUUGCGCCCCUUGGUAUUCCGAGGGGCACACCCGUUUGAGUGUCGUGAAAAUCUCAACCUCCUCGGUUUCUUUUGGGAUGCUGAAGGAGGCUUGGACUUUGGAGGGCUUUGCUGGACUUGAAAGGCCAGCUCCUCUCAAAUGAAUUAGCGAGGUUCCCUUUGCCGAUCCUCGACGUGUGAUAAGAUGCUUCCACAUCUUGGUCUUUUGGCUCUGUCGCCUUUUGGGACCUGCUUCCAAUCGUCUCUCGACGAGACAACGUUCGAGCACGUCUCGACCACGUACCCUUGACCUCUAAUC